RNAcentral lists this non-coding RNA (857 nucleotides) under Unio pictorum (painter's mussel). The record is from RNAcentral. Lineage: Eukaryota; Metazoa; Mollusca; Bivalvia; Unionida; Unionidae.
AAUAACACUUCGUUCUGAUGCUAAAUUAGUUAAGACUUCUAAACUACAUAUGGUAAACUAAUAAAGCUUUGUGAACAAUCUAUUGAUAAAACCUAAUGUUCAACACAUUAGAAUUUUAAUUUUAGAAACAGAGUAUUUAAACACACUCUACGGAAAUCGCCCACAACACCAAUGAACUAUAUUGAUACUAUAGCUAGGAAACUAGGCAACAGAGAUAGUCAAUUACAAGGGACCAAAUAAGGUGCCAGCAGUCGCGGUUACACCUAAUCUUGAAGCUAAUUUUUUCAAUAAAAGAGGCACAUGUAUAACUGAUCUCAAUUUAACCUGCAAAAGUAAAAUUUUAACUUCAAUUAAUAUACCCCAACAGAUCUUACCAUUCCCUCACACAAACCACAUCUACAAGACAGGGAUUAGAUACCCCUUUAUUGCGUGGCCCAACACAACAAACACUAAAAACGAAAGUUCCAAACUUAAAGAACGUGGCGGUGUUCUACACCUUAUUAGGGGAUCCUGUGGCUUAAUUCGAUAAUCCACGAUUAAAUAAAGCUUUAUUAGUUUCACAGCUUAUGUAUGGCCGUAUUAUGCCUGCACACUAAUGUUACAACAGGAGACAACCAAAGUCAAAACUUUACAAAUACAGGUGACAUAUAGCCUAUAUAAAGCAGUUCAUGGGAUACAAAUAACAAUUAUUACCCGAAAGUAAUUUGAAAUUUUUUACAAAAAGGAGGACUUAAAAGUAAGAUUAAAACAACAUUUUAAUCUGAAUAAGAUCUAGAACGCGCACAAAUCGCCCGUCACUCCCGACUCUAAUCGGGACAAGUCGUAACAUAGUAGGGGUAACGGAAGUUGCCCCUAAU